Molecule: ribosomal RNA, 253 nt
Filed under: uncultured bacterium
Lineage: Bacteria
Description: partial 16S ribosomal RNA
Rfam family: Bacterial small subunit ribosomal RNA
Source: RNAcentral
UACGUAGGGAGCAAGCGUUGUCCGGAAUCAUUGGGCGUAAAGAGCGUGUAGGCGGCCCGAUAAGUCCGCUGUGAAAGUCCAGGGCUCAACCCUGGGAUGCCGGUGGAUACUGUCGGGCUCGAGUCCGGAAGAGGAGUGUGGAAUUCCUGGUGUAGCGGUGAAAUGCGCAGAUAUCAGGAGGAACACCAAUGGCGAAGGCAGCACUCUGGGACGUGACUGACGCUGAGACGCGAAAGCGUGGGGAGCAAACAGG